This 63-nucleotide small RNA is filed under the name Arabidopsis thaliana (thale cress). RNAcentral describes it as "ATSL179560". Lineage: Eukaryota; Viridiplantae; Streptophyta; Magnoliopsida; Brassicales; Brassicaceae. The record is from RNAcentral.
UUUAUUUGUGAAAUGUUAUGAGAGUUUAUAUACAUAUUAGAAAGAAGAAGAAAAAAACUAUAA